AUUCUGCCGGAGGCCACUGCUAUCAGAGUUCGAUUAAGCCAUGCGAGUCGAGAGGUGCAAGACCUCGGCAUACUGCUCAGUAACACGUGGACAACCUAACCUAAGGUGGGGGAUAACCCCGGGAAACUGGGGAUAAUACCCCAUAGACUAUGGAAGCUGGAAUGCUCUGUAGCUGAAGGGUCAGCCGCCAUAGGAUGGGUCUGCGGCCGAUUAGGUAGUUGUUGGGGUAACGGCCCAACAAGCCUGUAAUCGGUACGGGUUGUGGGAGCAAGAGCCCGGAGAUGGAUUCUGAGACACGAAUCCAGGCCCUACGGGGCGCAGCAGGCGCGAAAACUUUACAAUGCGGGAAACCGUGAUAAGGGAACUCUGAGUGCCCGUUAAAUCGGGCUGUCCACCAGUUUAAAAAACUGGUGAAGAAAGGGCCGGGCAAGACCGGUGCCAGCCGCCGCGGUAAUACCGGCGGCUCGAGUGGUGGCCACUAUUACUGGGCUUAAAGCGUUCGUAGCUGGUUUGUUAAGUUUCUGGGGAAAUCUUCCGGCUUAACCGGAAGGCGUCCCAGGGAUACUGGCAGACUAGGGACCGGAAGAGGUGAGGGGUACUCCAGGGGUAGGAGUGAAAUCCUGUAAUCCUUGGGGGACCACCUGUGGCGAAGGCGCCUCACCAGGACGGCUCCGACAGUGAGGGACGAAAGCUGGGGGAGCAAACCGGAUUAGAUACCCGGGUAGUCCCAGCCGUAA
RNAcentral lists this ribosomal RNA (737 nucleotides) under uncultured archaeon. RNAcentral describes it as "bacterial SSU rRNA". It matches the Rfam family "Archaeal small subunit ribosomal RNA", at positions 11 to 756 of the family's 1478-position model. The record is from RNAcentral.